AACGCGGCUGUCCCAACUCGCUCCGGCCACCGCCCACUGCCGACACCUCCCUCAUUCUCUCAGGCGAUGCACACCGAUAAUAUCUGGGAGUGAAGGAAGUCAAGGAACCACGGAUUCUUAUUCUUGCAAUAUGGAGAGCUCUCAAUCCAAACGGUCUGCUUCUUUUUCUGAA
This is a long non-coding RNA of Chenopodium quinoa (quinoa), 172 nucleotides long. RefSeq lists it as uncharacterized. The record is from RefSeq and is a predicted model, not a curated record. NCBI's taxonomy places the organism in Eukaryota, Viridiplantae, Streptophyta, Magnoliopsida, Caryophyllales, Amaranthaceae. The transcript has 3 exons.